Molecule: ribosomal RNA, 495 nt
Filed under: uncultured bacterium
Lineage: Bacteria
Description: partial 16S ribosomal RNA
Rfam family: Bacterial small subunit ribosomal RNA
Source: RNAcentral
GACGAACGCUGGCGGCGUGCCUAAUACAUGCAAGUCGAACGCUGAAGGAGGAGCUUGCUUCUCUGGAUGAGUUGCGAACGGGUGAGUAACGCGUAGGUAACCUGCCUGGUAGCGGGGGAUAACUAUUGGAAACGAUAGCUAAUACCGCAUAAUAGUAGAUGUUGCAUGACAUUUGCUUAAAAGGUGCAAUUGCAUCACUACCAGAUGGACCUGCGUUGUAUUAGCUAGUUGGUGGGGUAACGGCUCACCAAGGCGACGAUACAUAGCCGACCUGAGAGGGUGAUCGGCCAAACUGGGACUGAGACACGGCCCAGACUCCUACGGGAGGCAGCAGUAGGGAAUCUUCAGCAAUGGACGGAAGUCUGACCGAGCAACGCCGCGUGAGUGAAGAAGGUUUUCGGAUCGUAAAGCUCUGUUGUAAGAGAAGAACGAGUGUGAGAGUGGAAAGUUCACACUGUGGCGGUAUCUUACCAGAAAGGGACGGCUAACUACGUG